GCCGCUAGAGUGCGUGGGUCGCAGCGCGCCAGUCAGUGUCAGUUCAGUCAGUGAUCGGUCGGUUCUGUGUGGUGUCGGUCUUACUGCUUCACCCGCUUUUCACACACUUCGCGACCGCUCGCUAGCUACUAUCCAGCAGGAAUACACUCUACAGACCUCUAACCCCCGCCACCGGUCGAGUGCUCCACGCCACGCCACCGCUGACCUCCACCUCCUCGCUCCCCCGUCCCGACACUGCCAUGUGCUGACCUCCCACCCGCUCCGGUCCCGCUUGCUCUCGUCUGUCGCUGUCACCUCGCUUCUGCAGCUCGCUUGCGCCGCGCGCGCCGGUUCUACACCUCCGGCGACAUUUCCUGCUGCACCAUUUACUUUGAAUACGAGCCUGGGUGUGUGGCCGUGGCGACUAGCAGUGCUAGUGAUGACCUAACAGGUCAUCCCGUAGUGAGUGUGUGCCCCGGUCCCCCGUGCGCUCUUCCCUCUUCCCCUCCCCACCACCCCCUGACCACCACCGCUACCGCCACCUCCACCGCCACCAUGGCCAUGGUCAACAUGAACAACCUGCUCAACGGCAAGGACUCCAGGUGGCUCCAGCUGGAGGUCUGCCGCGAGUUCCAGCGCAACAAGUGCUCCAGGCCGGACACGGAGUGCAAGUUCGCGCACCCUCCCGCCAACGUGGAGGUGCAGAACGGCCGCGUCACGGCCUGCUACGACAGUAUCAAGGGUCGGUGUAACCGAGACAAGCCGCCAUGCAAGUACUUCCAUCCCCCGCAGCACCUCAAGGAUCAGCUGCUCAUCAACGGGCGCAACCACUUGGCCUUGAAGAACGCGCUGAUGCAGCAGAUGGGUCUGACUCCAGGCCAGCCUCUAGUUCCUGGCCAGGUGCCCACCGUGGUUGGCGGAAAGUUCCAGAUUCCCACCCCAGCACUGACUUUUGGGCAGCCUCAUAUAGGCCUGAUGGCCACGAACCCCUACCUCGCUGGGAUGCCUCAGGUUGGAAGUACGUUCUCGCCCUACUUCUCGCCAGGACCUAUCAUCCCUGCCAUGAUGGGCCCAGAUCCUGCCACUCAGCUGGGAAUGGUCCAGCAGACAGUCGUCACACAACAGAAAAUGCCUCGGUCCGAUAGGCUAGAGCCGAGUGUGCUGGGUCUGCCCACUGCGCAAGAACUCCCCAGGAAGCGCCCCAGGGACCCUAGUGAUGACCUUCUACUGGCCUUCCCCGGAAUGGUGCCGUAUAAGCGAGCAGCCGGGGACAAGUCCGGAGUUCCUGUGUACCAGCCAAGUGCGACGGCGUACCAGCAACUGCUGCAACCCUUCGUGCCCGUCUCAUUUACAGGCCACCCGCCAGGUGUGCCAAGGUUUUAAUCGUCACGAAUGGAAUUGUCCGACCUGCAAGUUCGUGUAAGCAGAAUCAGGGGAGGAGCGGCAGAGGGAGGGACCGUCCCAUUGCCAACUCUAACUACAUUGCUGCUAUGGCUGUGAUCAGGAAACACUACACACCCACGAGUAUUUAUUUUAGUAUUACAUCCACAGUCAAGAGUGACAUGGAGAACGUCGACUGCCCGCCAUCGCAGAAACUCUCUGUCUCUCUUAUUACACUCUCUACUAUACUUUCUCUAUCUCUCUCUAUCUCUCAUUAAGUGCCACAUUUUUUAAAGUAACGAAAUGAAAGAUUUUUAAAUAUUAAAAUAAACUCACGAAGAAAUAAAUGUUCCUGUACAGCAUAAAAAAAUCAAAGUUUACUCGGAGGAGAGUGACACGAAAGUGUGAGUGUACGAACUGCGACUCUACGGAUUUGUUGUACACAAGAAAAUGAAUGUGAUACAAUUAACGACUCGUUUAUUUUUAGAUUAAAAGUACGAUUUUUUAUUCGUUUUUGAGUGAUUUUUUUAAUAUUUCUCACACUCGGCAGAAUUUUUUUAACCUAUCUAAUGGUAAAUAUAAAAACUGAAAAACACAAAUGAUAUUUUAGUUGUUAAUCGAUUUGUUAGUCGUGUCCGGAAGUGUUUGUUAUCGUUAUAAAUGACUAUCUGAUCCAGGACAAAGCCAGCAUCAAGAGUGUGUCCCACGCUUUUGCUAGCUCUCGCUUCGUGACAUUACGUUAAGGCCUAAUCAGAUAUUCUACUUCUACCCAGUGAUGUAAAAAUCGGUCUCGUAUUAGUAUCAAUGUUGUCCUCUAUUUAUUUUGGCACAGUCAAAUCUUAGAUUAGUGGAUUUGUUGAUGUCUCGAUAGCCCUGCAGUUUCGUUUGCUAGCACUGUAGGCCCUCUAGACCUAGACCUAGGCACCACUCUUGUAGGCCUGGCAACGAGUAUUAAACACGACACAGUGGCUCACUUUCAAACAUUUACGUUUUACUUUAUUUAUCGUUCGUUUUGUGAUAUUUUAGUGAACAAAGUAUGAAUUAUUGUUAUUUAAGUCUCACCUAUUAAUACUUAUAUUAUAACCGUAUUGUACAUGUACCUUGUUAUAUUGUUAGGGUUGAGAUUAGUGUAAGUCGUAAUUUGUUCAUAUACAAGGAGAAUACUCUUGUAAUAAAUAAAUAUUACUACGAAUUACUAUGAGCAAUUUAUUAUUGACUUUUAAUUAUAGUUACUUUUAUUUUUGUAUUAUAUAGUUUUGUGCAGUGGACGUAUUUCUCCUUGUUGAUGAAUGAAGCCAUGUUGGCUUGUCUCCAGUCUGAGAGGCAACAGUGAUCUGAUAAGCAAGUAGUUAAUAAACAAAUUAUGUGAAUUAUUAUUUA
RNAcentral lists this unclassified non-coding RNA (2739 nucleotides) under Homalodisca vitripennis (glassy-winged sharpshooter). RNAcentral describes it as "muscleblind-like protein, transcript variant X2". Lineage: Eukaryota; Metazoa; Arthropoda; Insecta; Hemiptera; Cicadellidae. The record is from RNAcentral.